This 323-nucleotide ribosomal RNA is filed under the name uncultured eukaryote. RNAcentral describes it as "partial 18S ribosomal RNA". It matches the Rfam family "Eukaryotic small subunit ribosomal RNA", at positions 1470 to 1796 of the family's 1831-position model. The record is from RNAcentral.
CCCUUAGAUGUUCUGGGCUGCACGCGCGCUACACUGACGCACGCAACAGGUGCCUGCUCCGAGAGGACUGGGUAAUCAUUUGAGUGUGCGUCGUGAUGGGGAUAGAAUAUUGUAAUUAUUACUCUUCAACGAGGAAUUCCUAGUAAGCGCCAGUCAGCAGCUUGCGCUGAUUACGUCCCUGCCCUUUGUACACACCGCCCGUCGCUCCUACCGAUUGGGUGUGCUGGUGAAAUGUUCGGAUCGGCCGUUUGUCGCGGUUUCCGCGUCAUGUGGCUGAGAAGUUCAUUAAACCCUCCCACCUAGAGGAAGGAGAAGUCGUAACA